UAAGGAAUAUUGGUCAAUGGACGCAAGUCUGAACCAGCCAUGCCGCGUGGAGGAUGAAGGCCCUCUGGGUUGUAAACUUCUUUUACCUGGGAAGAAACCUGGACUUUCUAGUUCAGUUGACGGUACCAGGGGAAUAAGCACCGGCUAACUCCGUGCCAGCAGCCGCGGUAAUACGGAGGGUGCAAGCGUUAUCCGGAUUCACUGGGUUUAAAGGGUGCGUAGGUGGGCAGGUAAGUCAGUGGUGAAAUCUCUGAGCUUAACUCAGAAACUGCCGUUGAUACUAUCUGUCUUGAAUAUAGUGGAGGUGAGCGGAAUAUGUCAUGUAGCGGUGAAAUGCUUAGAUAUGACAUAGAACACCCAUUGCGAAGGCAGCUCGCUACACUAUCAUUGACACUGAGGCACGAAAGCGUGGGGAUCAAACAGGAUUAGAUACCCCUGUAGUCC
RNAcentral lists this ribosomal RNA (444 nucleotides) under uncultured bacterium. RNAcentral describes it as "bacterial SSU rRNA". It matches the Rfam family "Bacterial small subunit ribosomal RNA", at positions 355 to 796 of the family's 1533-position model. The record is from RNAcentral.